GUAAUUCAGUUUUGCACGAGUCUUGUCUGCCUUAUGUUUGAAUUGCUUUCUCUUCCAGGAAGUUUUAAAUUAAACUUUUAUUUUGUGUCUCCCCCCCCAGUAUCCUGUCCAAGACCAAGCUACCUUUCCUCGUUGGAAUGGACUGGCCGGGCUUUGGCAGUCUGGCCCCUCGAAAGACUAAAGUGACCUCUUCCAGCAGGGGAAGACUUUCUGGCAAGCGGUACCAGAAAGAACUGGAGUUUCUGGAGAAUAAAAGCUGGAGGUGUGCCCCCGAUAAUCCUCGCCCCGGGUGGUGAGUGGUCUGACUUGCAGGGACCGGUGGCCUUGGCCAGGAGCGGUCCUGCCGGACUGUAAUUUUAAUUUCCUGCCUAGGCUGUAAUUUUAAUUUCCUUUGGAUGCUUGGCAAAGCCCUUCUGGGGGAGCCCUAGUGCCUGGCAUGAGCAGAGCGGGCUUCCAGGGAGGUAUUCACCUGGUCAGCGUCAGGAACCAUCCUCCCUGAAGCCUCGGCUCCCUCUUUCCCUUCGGUUGCCGUGGAUGUGCCGGACACCUCUGGCAGGACUAACCCUGUGGCUUUUAUGUCCAACGUGCUGUGUGCCUGCAGGUAAGAAAAGCUGGGAGUGCAGUCCCUCUGCUUUGCUUGCUGUGUCUCUUGGGUAGUGAUUUUGGAGGGGAAUCCCAGAGCGAUUUGGUUUGAAGGGGACCUUCAAAGGCCACCCUGUCUUCCGUGGGCAGGGACACCUUCCCCUCUCAUCCCCGGUUGCUCCAAGUCCCGUCCAGCCUGGCCUGGAACACUUGCAGGGAUCCAGGGGCAGCCUCAGCUUCCCUGUGCAGUGUGCUCUAAUAUCUCUCCACUGGCAUCCUGAAAAAUGUUGUCAGCGUGUUUUGUUGGACGACGGUAAGCGGGACCUGGGUGAAAAGGACAUUCUCUGAGGUGCUGGGAGAAGGAGGGCUCGUGCGGGCACCUCCAGAGACAGUGGGAACGGGAGCGUGCUGCAGAGAAGGAAAAUUCCAGGGGAAUUGCCACGAGAGGAAAUACUUCAGAGGGGCUUCCCUCCAGAUAAGCCCUGAAUGUGCCAGGAGGUUUCAGCCGGGAGAAAGGAGCUGUGGAAGAAAAGCAGCCUAAAAAUAGCCAGCGGGGAUCAUCAGGUUUUCCAGCCAAGAAAAACCAGGAGGGAGAUGAGGGAAUCGGGUUCCAAUUCCUAAAGAUUUGGUGGGUGUAGGAAUGAUUUCUGUGUGUUUUCCAGUCCCUUUUGAUUCCUGGGAUGAUUUUAAAAUGAUGGCUAAAUUGGAGAUGUUGUUUUUGAGAGGAAAUGAUGCCAAAUAAAUGCAAAGUUUGGGGUCAGUUUU
Long non-coding RNA from Pseudopipra pipra, 1347 nucleotides. RefSeq lists it as uncharacterized. The transcript is spliced from 3 exons. NCBI's taxonomy places the organism in Eukaryota, Metazoa, Chordata, Aves, Passeriformes, Pipridae. The record is from RefSeq and is a predicted model, not a curated record.